UAACUGAUUUCCCCCAGAACAACUUCUGUCUCACUCAGGCAGCUGCCACAUAAAUGCUUCUUAUUUAUUUGUAAGCUAUGUGGCUAAAUGCACCUUCCACCGCCGGCUGAGCCGUGCCCCCGUCGGCUCUGCGAGGCUCCCCAGGGCGGUGCGUGCAGGAACCUGGAACAGAAUGAAAGUUAGGAUUGGAAAAGGGAAAAAUGGAGGAGUGAUUUUUUUUGUUUCCCCAGAAAGAAUGAACCCCCUUGAAAUGAAAAAGGCCAAAGGGCCUGCCACAAAACGUAGCAACCCGACCAACCAAGGGCCCGGAAAGAUUUUUGUAUUUGCAGGAAGUAGUCGAUGGAAAGGGCUCCGUUGUGUCAGGACGUGUUCAGUUAGGAACAGUUAUGGAAACUGCAUCUUCCAUUGUCUCCGUUGGACGCAGACCCUUCCUCCAGAGCCGGACCCCACGCUGUUCGUCAGCUGGAAGACAGCAACGGGGGCGGCCCACCCCGGAGCCAGAGCUGCCCUCGCCUCUGACCUGCAGCUUCAAGUGAGCGGGGCCCUGCAGCAAGCCAGGCAGCCCACCAGAUGUGCGUUACGCAUCCCGGCRGUCGUUGGCCAUGGACUAGACAACCGUGGUGGGGAAGGAGCUCUGCCAGGAUUUUCAGGCAGCCGGUUACCCUGGGCACUGCUGUUGAGUGUCAGAUGUGCCUAG
Molecule: long non-coding RNA, 697 nt
Filed under: Dromaius novaehollandiae (emu)
Lineage: Eukaryota; Metazoa; Chordata; Aves; Casuariiformes; Dromaiidae
Description: lncRNA (ENSDNVG00000014686.1)
Source: RNAcentral